This 57-nucleotide transfer RNA is filed under the name Canis lupus familiaris (dog). RNAcentral also lists the same sequence under 1 other name. The record is from Rfam by way of RNAcentral. Lineage: Eukaryota; Metazoa; Chordata; Mammalia; Carnivora; Canidae.
GCCUGGGUGGCUCAGUGGUUGAGCGCCUGCCUUUGGCUCAGGAUGUGAUCCCAGGCU